GUGGCCUCAGCUGCGAGCAGAGUGGCGGUAGCAGCCCCUCUCAGGAGACCACCAGGUCACCUCUUUCUGUGGCCUCGCCAUGGCAACCUACGGACAGAGCUGCACGCGGCUGAUGUGUAUUCCUCCAUCAUAUGCUGACCUUGGCAAAGCUGCCAGAGAUAUUUUCACAAAGGAUUUGGUUUUGGGUUGGUGAAACUGGAUGUGAAAACAAAGUCAUGCAGUGGUAUGGAAUUCUCAACGUCUGGUUCAUCUAAUACAGACACUGGUAAAGUUACUGGAACCUUGGAGACCAAAUAUAAAUGGUGUGAGUAUGGUCUGACUUUCACAGAAAAAUGGAACACCGAUAACACUCUGGGAACAGAAAUCGUAAUUGAAGACCAAAUUUGUCAAGGUUUGAAACUGACAUUUGAUACCACCUUUUCACCAAACAUGGGAAAGAAAAGUGGUAAAAUCAAGUCUUCUUACGGGAGAGUGUAUAAACCUUGGUUGUGAUGUUGACUUUGAUUUUGCUGGACCUGCAAUCCAUGGUUCAGCUGUCUUUGGUUACGAGGGCUGGCUUGCUGGGUACCAGAUGACUUUUGACAGUGUCAAAUCAAAACUGACAAGAAAUAACUUUGUGAGCUACAGGACUGGGGACUUCCAACUACACACUAAUGUCAAUGAUGGGACAGAAUUUGGAGGAUCAAUUUAUCAAAAAGUAUGUGAAGAUCUUGACACUUCAGUAAAUCUUGCUUGGACAUCAGGUACCAACAGCACUUGCUUUGGCAUUGCAGCCAGAUAUCAGUUGGAUCCCACUGCUUCCAUUUCUGCAAAAGUCAACAACUCUCGUUUAAUUGGAGUGGGCUACACUCAGACUCUGAGGCCUGGUGUCAAGCUUACACUGUCCGCUCUGGUAGACGGGAAGAGCAUCAAUGCCGGAGGCCACAAACUUGGGCUUGUCCUUGAGUUGGAGGCUUAAUCCAGCUGAAAGAAACCUCUGGGAAUGGAUAUCAGAAGAUUUGGCCUUAAUAUAUUUCCAGUGUGACCAGCAGCCCCCUGCCGCCAAGAAGGUGAUCAAAUCAAAGGAUGAUCUAAACAAGAGCUGUAUUUUAAAUAUUUAGACAGUUACUUGUUAGCUGGUUUCUAGUUGAAUUGGUUAUCUAUCUAGUUAUCAAUGCUGCAGUCGUGCAGUCACCUAUACAUUAUUUAAAUGUAUUUAACUGUUAAAUGCGCUACUCACCAAUAAUGAAAUAGACCUUUAUGAAAACUGU
Callorhinus ursinus (northern fur seal) is the source of this 1250-nucleotide non-coding RNA. Lineage: Eukaryota; Metazoa; Chordata; Mammalia; Carnivora; Otariidae. The record is from RefSeq and is a predicted model, not a curated record.